RNAcentral lists this small RNA (561 nucleotides) under Pan troglodytes (chimpanzee). RNAcentral's name for it is "retained intron". The record is from RNAcentral. Lineage: Eukaryota; Metazoa; Chordata; Mammalia; Primates; Hominidae.
GUGCAGCCGGUAUGUGAACCCCAUCUGGCUGACUCCUGGGGGCCCCAGCCAGGGCAGGGUGUGUGUGUGCAGAAUAAGCAGGGCCAGGGCCCCGCCCUGGCAUGGCUCAGCAGAGCCCUCCUCCCUCCCACCUCCCACCCUGCUGCCUUCAUCCCCCAGGCGCUGAAGUACGCCUUCCAGACCCACGACCGCCUGUGCUUUGUGAUGGAGUAUGCCAACGGGGGUGAGCUGUUCUUCCACCUGUCCCGGGAGCGUGUCUUCACAGAGGAGCGGGCCCGGUUUUAUGGUGCAGAGAUUGUCUCGGCUCUUGAGUACUUGCACUCACGGGACGUGGUAUACCGCGACAUCAAGCUGGAAAACCUCAUGCUGGACAAAGAUGGCCACAUCAAGAUCACUGACUUUGGCCUCUGCAAAGAGGGCAUCAGUGACGGGGCCACCAUGAAAACCUUCUGUGGGACCCCGGAGUACCUGGCGCCUGAGGUGCUGGAGGACAAUGACUAUGGCCGGGCCGUGGACUGGUGGGGGCUGGGUGUGGUCAUGUACGAGAUGAUGUGCGGCCGC